Esox lucius (northern pike) is the source of this 2950-nucleotide long non-coding RNA. NCBI's taxonomy places the organism in Eukaryota, Metazoa, Chordata, Actinopteri, Esociformes, Esocidae. The record is from Ensembl.
AAAAAGUCCAUAAUGUUGAAGUGAAAAAUAGACAUUGUUUUAAAUUAUUAAAAAAAUAAAACAGAAAAUAUUUGAUUGCCGGAGUAUUUAACCCAUUUAGUCAAUAUUUCGUACUGAAGAGGCACCUUUGGUAGCCAUGAGUCUACUUAAAAGGAACCCUGACUAUUAAGAUACAUAAGCCAAUAUGCUACAAUUGCUCUCUCCAGAAAAACAUAGUUAGAAAUACAUAUUAGCAUAUUAGGUUGAGGUAGCUAAGUAUGUGUGCCAUUGGUCCAGUUUAUGUUCUUUACCUUAUAUGUGUAAAUGCAGCAUCUUGCCCUUCGUGGUUUCUGUCUUGAAUUCCCCCUGCCCGGACUGUGUGUAUGUGUUGUUAAUUCUGUCCCCCUCUGUUUCCUGUUAGUCUGACACACAAGCUCAGUCUGCUCUCCUUACCCAGGAACAGCCUAAAUAAGAUUUCCUGUUUUCUACUUGCAACUUUCAGUUUCAGCUUAUAUAAGAUAGCAAAAAAUAUAAGCACGGCUUCUUUUUCCAGCCCUAAGCUGUCGUCUAUAGGUGCGUCCUGCUGGCGGGGAUGAAACGUUUGCCGCCGAAUACGUCACUCCCAUUUCUUGCGAGAUGCCGCCCGCGAACAGCCGGCGGUCUGACUGCUUCAUUUUCUUUGGCGGUUGCCUCGGUCUGAUGGACCGCGGUCGUCCGGCGGCAAGACGCUUUUAAAUACAAGGCUACUCUCAAAAUCAACCGGCCAUGUUUGUUUGGACACAUUCGCAUCAGUUCGUCGCUCAAUCGCGAGUUACUACAGCCUGCAGUUUGCUAGCUAGCAAAGUCAUCGACUACCAUCGUUUAAGUAAGUACAUGCUUCCUUUUUGUGUAACGCAAUAUUAUGUUUACAUUGUUUUUAGUUUAUAUAUUUAAAAUGUGUAGUCAUCUUUGUUCUUGCCUAACUAGCUAAAGUAGCCUUGUUUACGCAAUGUUGUUAGUACAUGUAGAAUUUUAACGAACUAUAAUAGGUAGCAAAAGCUUUACAUCUAGAAAGACUAAGUUUAACUUUUAGUGUUUUCUUACAAAAAUAACGAUGUAUAUAUGUUGUUUAAAUUAUUUUGUUUGCCUGAACAAGUAUGCUGCUAGUCCAGUAGCUAGAGUGGCUAGUAAGUGUUAGCUAGCACAUGUUGUUUUGCCUUUGUUACAGUACACACUGUGGCUAGCAAGUUUUGUGCUGUGUUGCUACUGUACUGGAUUUAAGGCGAUUAUGAUUUCUAAUUCUUUUUAUACUUUUUAUGUUUGAGGACAAUUUUGUGUUCACUUGAAUCACAACACUCGGUGAAUACAUUUGUUUUAACAAUUUCACUGUUCCACAUUUGGCUGAAAAUGUUUCCCCCCCACAGCAUAGCUACUGUAUAUUCCUAACGUUAACAAUCCGGUUUUGUUCACGUUUUCUUGCAGAUACCUUGGCCAGAGCAUAACCGGUUAUCUUCACCCAAGAGACCUACUGUUGGUCAAUCGUUUUGGCUUUAAAGAACCAGGUUUCUCCCCAGUAAUCCAGACUCCACUUCACAGAGCCAAGAGUUUGAGUACAACUCGUCAAGUACUAAGCUUUACACCACCAGCAGCAAAUUUACCCUGGCAGCAUAUGGGCGAAAACGCUGGAGGAGAAAGUCAUCGCUUUGUUAUUGGCCCUUGGACGCCCCUGGCAUCUCGUGUACAGCACAAAGUUUUCAGCUAUGAAGAUUUCCAGUGACUCCAGAAUGAAAACCAAGCUCUGAGGGAGAAGAACCAAGCCCUGAGGGAAUGCAAUGCACAAGCAGCUUCGGAUGACAGCGGCUCACUUCAAGAGCAGGUGAAGCAAGUAGGGACUAUGUUGAAGACGUUUGCUCUCACUGGGCAAUCAGGUGCGUUACCUGAAAGGAGCAUCUGACCGUGAAGGCAGAAAAAGCCACACAGCUGAGAAGGACCCACAGCCGACCCCUUAAACCUAGGCUGACUACUGACACCCCAGCAUCACUGAACUGGAACACUUUCUUUAUCCUGCAGUCAGUAACCUCAAGAAGCCAGAAGUGCCAGACUACCAAAUCCACCCUUUGUAUUUUAACUUUAGUAUUGGCUUAUUUCAUUCCGUCUUAACAAUUCUAUUAUAGUUUGUAAAUCCUAUUUUCAUACCUGUUACUUGAUAUUGCACAUUAACUAGUACCAAAAUUCGACUUUCAUUUCAUCACUGUGCUUAACUGUUAUUCUAUUAAUAAUAGCUUGGAAAUACUAUUUCGUACCUCUGAUACUUGAUAUUGCACAUUACCUGGUACCAAAUAUUCUACUUACUGUUUUUAACAUCAGCAUUUUUCAUUCCAUCACAGUGCUUAACUGUUAUUCUAUUGUUAAAUAUAGCUUGUAAAUCCUUGUGCCACAGGUCAGCAUUGCAGUUAUAAUGGUCUGUUCUACUACUGUUUUUACCUCCGUAUUUUAAUAUAAAUAUAUAUGUCAAGUUUUGUUUAUCACAGAUACAAGAGACACAGAUCUUUUUGCAGCACGGUGUAAAUCUUGUGCUCCAGGUCAGCAAUGCCAUUAUAGCGGUCUAUUCUACUCUAGAGCUUUACUCUAAAUUAUUACCACUUUUCCUAUUGUUAGAAAUGGCUUGAAAAUGUGAUGUUAUACCUCGAUUUAUUUGAUAUCCUGCACAUUCUUUGGUACCAAAUAUCCUCAUUACUUAUGUUUACUGGUAAUUAUUUUCACCCCAGAGCUGACCUCUUUAUAUUAUUAACAAUUAUUGUGUUUGUGUUAUAAUUUGCUUGUAUGGCUGUUUUUAUUUUAACCAAAAUUUAAUUGGAAACCUGCAUGUUCUGUAGUGUGUAUUAAUAUGUAUAUUUUUUUCUGCCUGUUCUUUAUUUCAGUGAUCUGACACAUCUUGUUUGAAUGACAGUUACUGUACUUUGAAAUGUGGAAUUAAAACACCAAAUGGAAA